This 497-nucleotide ribosomal RNA is filed under the name uncultured bacterium. RNAcentral's name for it is "partial 16S ribosomal RNA". It matches the Rfam family "Bacterial small subunit ribosomal RNA", at positions 28 to 507 of the family's 1533-position model. The record is from RNAcentral.
GAUGAACGCUGGCGGCGUGCCUAAUACAUGCAAGUCGAGCGAACAGACGAGGAGCUUGCUCCUCUGACGUUAGCGGCGGACGGGUGAGUAACACGUGGAUAACCUACCUAUAAGACUGGGAUAACUUCGGGAAACCGGAGCUAAUACCGGAUAAUAUAUUGAACCGCAUGGUUCACUAGUGAAAGACGGUUUUGCUGUCACUUAUAGAUGAAUCCGCGCCGCAUUAGCUAGUUGGUAAGGUAACGGCUUACCCAGGCAACGAUGCGUAGCCGACCUGAGAGGGUGAUCGGCCACACUGGAAGUGAGACACGGUCCAGACUCCUACGGGAGGCAGCAGUAGGGAAUCUUACGCAAUGGGCGAAAGCCUGACGGAGCAACGCCGCGUGAGUGAUGAAGGUCUUCGGAUCGUAAAACUCUGUUAUUAGGGAAGAACAAAUGUGUAAGUAACUAUGCACGUCUUGACGGUACCUAAUCAGAAAGCCACGGCUAACUACGUG